This 439-nucleotide ribosomal RNA is filed under the name uncultured bacterium. Its description in RNAcentral is "partial 16S ribosomal RNA". It matches the Rfam family "Bacterial small subunit ribosomal RNA", at positions 339 to 795 of the family's 1533-position model. The record is from RNAcentral.
CUACGGGUGGCUCCAGUGGGGAAUAUUGCACCAUGGAGGAAACUCUGAUGCAGCAACGCCGCGUGGAGGAUGACACUUUUCGGAGCGUAAACUCCUUUUAUAUAGGAAGAAGAUGACGGUACUAUAUGAAUAAGCGCCGGCUAACUCCGUGCCAGCAGCCGCGGUAAUACGGAGGGCGCAAGCGUUACUCGGAAUCACUGGGCGUAAAGAGCGUGUAGGCGGAUUAAAAGGUCAGAAGUGAAAUCCUAUAGCUUAACUAUAGAACUGCUUCUGAAACUCUUAAUCUAGAAUAUGGGAGAGGUAGAUGGAAUUUCUGGUGUAGGGGUAAAAUCCGUAGAGAUCAGAAGGAAUACCGAUUGCGAAGGCGAUCGACUAGACCAUUAUGGACGCUGAGACGCGAAAGCGUGGGGAGCAAACAGGAUUAGAUACCCGUGUAGUC